GAUGAACGCUGGCGGCGUGCCUAAUACAUGCAAGUCGAGCGAACAGACGAGGAUCUUGCGCCUCUGACGUUAGCGGCGGACGGGUGAGUAACACGUGGAUAACCUACCUAUAAGACUGGGAUAACUUCGGGAAACCGGAUCUAAUACCGGAGAAUAUAUUGAACCGCAUGGUUCAAUAGUGAAAUACGGUUUUUCGGUCACUUCUAGAGGGAUCCGCGCCGCAUUAGCUAGUUGGUAAGGUAACGGCUUACCAAGGCAACGAUGCGUAGCCGACCUGAGAGGGUGAUAGGCGACACUGGAACUGAGACACGGUCCAGACUCCUACGGGAGGCAGCAGUAGGGAAUGUUCCGCAAUGGGGGAAAGCUUGACGGAGCAACGGCGCGUGAGUGAUGAAGGUCUUCGGAUCGUAAAACUCUGUUAUUAGGGAAGAACAAAUGUGUAAGUAACUAUGCACGUCUUGACGGUACCUAAUAAGAAAGCACCGGCUAACUACGUG
This 497-nucleotide ribosomal RNA is filed under the name uncultured bacterium. Its description in RNAcentral is "partial 16S ribosomal RNA". It matches the Rfam family "Bacterial small subunit ribosomal RNA", at positions 28 to 507 of the family's 1533-position model. The record is from RNAcentral.